This 344-nucleotide unclassified non-coding RNA is filed under the name soil metagenome. RNAcentral describes it as "partial contains 5.8S ribosomal RNA, internal transcribed spacer 2, and large subunit ribosomal RNA". The stretch from base 1 to 118 matches the Rfam family "5.8S ribosomal RNA", at positions 35 to 154 of the family's 154-position model. The record is from RNAcentral.
GAUGAAGACGCAGUGAAAUGCGAUACGUAAUGUGAAUUGCAAAUUCAGUGAAUCAUCGAGUCUUUGAACGCACAUUGCGCCCCCUGGUAUUCCGGGGGGCAUGCCUGUCCGAGCGUCAUUGCUGCCCUCAAGCACGGCUUGUGUGUUGGGCCCCGUCCUCCGAUUCCGGGGGACGGGCCCGAAAGGCAGCGGCGGCACCGCGUCCGGUCCUCGAGCGUAUGGGGCUUUGUCACCCGCUCUGUAGGCCCGGCCGGCGCUUGCCGAUCAACCCAAAUUUUUAUCCAGGUUGACCUCGGAUCAGGUAGGGAUACCCGCUGAACUUAAGCAUAUCAAUAAGCGGAGGA